RNAcentral lists this non-coding RNA (24 nucleotides) under Arabidopsis thaliana (thale cress). The record is from RNAcentral. Lineage: Eukaryota; Viridiplantae; Streptophyta; Magnoliopsida; Brassicales; Brassicaceae.
ACGGUUAUGGAGUCCAUCCAACAA